GUUAUCAAGUUUUACGGUUGAAUGAGAAUAAUAUAAAUAUUCAUAUAAUAUCAAUACCUCUUCAUCGCUGUCUUCGUCCAUUUCGACUGUGGCUUGGCGGGAAUUUGUAAAAAUUAUAUCCCUAAUUCACCCCCAGUCUGCAUUUUAUCCUCAGUCUGCAUUUUAUACCCCCAGUCUGCAUUUUGUACCCAGUCCGGUCUGCAG
Molecule: non-coding RNA, 204 nt
Organism: Paramuricea clavata
Lineage: Eukaryota; Metazoa; Cnidaria; Anthozoa; Malacalcyonacea; Plexauridae
Source: the annotation of a GenBank genome assembly